AGUGAACGCUGGCGGCAGGCCUAACACAUGCAAGUCGAGCGGCAGCGGGUCCGUCGGGAUGCCGGCGAGCGGCGGACGGGUGAGGAAUACAUCGGAAUCUGCCCUGUCGUGGGGGAUAACCUAGGGAAACUUAGGCUAAUACCGCAUACGACCUACGGGUGAAAGCGGGGGAUCGCAAGACCUCGCGCGACAGGAUGAGCCGAUGUCCGAUUAGCUAGUUGGCGGGGUAAAGGCCCACCAAGGCGACGAUCGGUAGCUGGUCUGAGAGGAUGAUCAGCCACACUGGGACUGAGACACGGACCAGACUCCUACGGGAGGCAGCAGUGGGGAAUAGUGGACAAUGGGCGCAAGCCUGAUCCAGCCAUGCCGCGUGGGUGAAGAAGGCCUUCGGGUUGUAAAGCCCUUUUGUCCGGGAAGAAAUAGUUUGGGCUAAUACCCCGGGCGGAUGACGGUACCGGAAGAAUAAGCACCGGCUAACUUCGUG
RNAcentral lists this ribosomal RNA (484 nucleotides) under uncultured bacterium. RNAcentral describes it as "partial 16S ribosomal RNA". It matches the Rfam family "Bacterial small subunit ribosomal RNA", at positions 30 to 507 of the family's 1533-position model. The record is from RNAcentral.